UACAGAGGUUGCGAGCGUUGUUCGGAUUUACUGGGCGUAAAGGGUGCGUAGGUGGCACUGCAUGUCGGAUGUGAAAGCUCACGGCUUACCCGUGGAACGGCAUCCGAAACUGCGGAGCUAGAGUACAGGAGAGGAGAGUGGAAUUCUCGGUGUAGCGGUGAAAUGCGUAGAUAUCGAGAGGAACACCGGUGGCGAAAGCGGCUCUCUGGACUGUUACUGACACUGAGGCACGAAAGCCAGGGUAGCAAAAAGG
RNAcentral lists this ribosomal RNA (253 nucleotides) under uncultured bacterium. RNAcentral's name for it is "partial 16S ribosomal RNA". It matches the Rfam family "Bacterial small subunit ribosomal RNA", at positions 524 to 776 of the family's 1533-position model. The record is from RNAcentral.